ACUCAAAGGAAUUGACGGGGGCCCGCACAAGCGGUGGAGCAUGUGGUUUAAUUCGACGCAACGCGAAGAACCUUACCCAGGCUUGACUUCUGGAGAAUCUGUACGAAAGUACGGAGUGCCUUCGGGAACUCCAAGACAGGUGCUGCAUGGCUGUCGUCAGCUCGUGUCGUGAGAUGUUGGGUUAAGUCCCGCAACGAGCGCAACCCUCGUCCUUAGUUACCAUCAUUUAGUUGGGGACUCUAGGGAGACUGCCGGUGUUAAACCGGAGGAAGGUGGGGAUGACGUCAAGUCCUCAUGGCCUUUAUGCCUGGGGCAACACACGUGCUACAAUGGACGGUACAAAGGGUUCCAAGCUCGCGAGAGUGAGGCAAUCCCAAAAAGCCGUUCUCAGUUCGGAUUGAAGUCUGCAACUCGACUUCAUGAAGCUGGAAUCGCUAGUAAUCGCGCAUCAGCACGGCGCGGUGAAUACGUUCCCGGGCCUUGCACACACCGCCCGU
Molecule: ribosomal RNA, 497 nt
Filed under: uncultured bacterium
Lineage: Bacteria
Description: partial 16S ribosomal RNA
Rfam family: Bacterial small subunit ribosomal RNA
Source: RNAcentral